CCGGCUCCCCGGCUGUCAAGC
This 21-nucleotide microRNA is filed under the name Sus scrofa (pig). RNAcentral's name for it is "ssc-mir82". Lineage: Eukaryota; Metazoa; Chordata; Mammalia; Artiodactyla; Suidae. The record is from RNAcentral.